AUACGGAGGAUGCAAGCGUUAUCCGGAUUCAUUGGGUUUAAAGGGUGCGCAGGCGGAGAGAUAAGUCAGUGGUGAAAAACUGCCGCUCGACGGUAGUCUUGCCAUUAAUACUGUCUUUCUUGAGUAUGGAUGAGGUAGGCGGAAUGUGCAGUGUAGCGGUGAAAUGCAUAGAUAUUGCACGGAACACCAAUUGCGAAGGCAGCUUACUGGACCAUUACUGACGCUCAGGCACGAAAGCGUGGGGAUCAAACAGGAUUAGAUACCCUGGUAGUCCACGCAGUAAACGAUGUUCACUCGCUGUUUGCGAUAUACUGUAAGCGGCUUAGUUAAAGCAUUAAGUGAACCACCUGGGGAGUACGAUCGCAAGGUUGAAACUCAAAUGAAUUGGCGGGG
This 393-nucleotide ribosomal RNA is filed under the name uncultured bacterium. Its description in RNAcentral is "partial 16S ribosomal RNA". It matches the Rfam family "Bacterial small subunit ribosomal RNA", at positions 523 to 918 of the family's 1533-position model. The record is from RNAcentral.